AUGUAUUUGUCCCUACCAACUGAGUUAAACUCAUGGAUACAGAAUUGUAAGUUAUUUACAAAAACAUUAAUCAAUUUGAUUGUUUACUCAAAUCAAUUAAUUAAAUAAAUAAACCAAAUACAAAUCUUUAUCAUCAAUCCUUGUAAUGAUUCUUUAAUCUACAAAAAUCCUUGUAAUGAUUCUUGUAAUAAUUUUUAGAUAAUUACUACUUCGUCCCACAUAUUCUAGCCCAAAUAAAUUUAGAAUAGGGGUUCCAUGCUCUUAAAGGUUUGCGUAGUUACGCAUUUGGCAUAUUUUUUGUCGUUGGAUCAGGCUACGAUGAUUCAAAUCAAAACUUAAUAUAUAUUUUUAUUUUAAAAUUGUAUUAAUUUUUCGAUCUUAAUCCAACGAUCGCAGAUGGGUCAACCGUGUGAAUGCGGC
Molecule: long non-coding RNA, 420 nt
Filed under: Medicago truncatula (barrel medic)
Lineage: Eukaryota; Viridiplantae; Streptophyta; Magnoliopsida; Fabales; Fabaceae
Description: lncRNA gene7508
Source: RNAcentral